This 315-nucleotide ribosomal RNA is filed under the name uncultured eukaryote. Its description in RNAcentral is "partial 18S ribosomal RNA". It matches the Rfam family "Eukaryotic small subunit ribosomal RNA", at positions 1470 to 1796 of the family's 1831-position model. The record is from RNAcentral.
CCCUUAGAUGUCCUGGGCCGCACGCGCGCUACACUGACACGUGCAACGAGUAUAACCUGGUCCGGAAGGAUGUCGGGUAAUCUUUAUAGUACGUGUCGUGCUGGGGAUAGAUCUUUGCAAUUAUGGAUCUUGAACGAGGAAUUCCUAGUAAGCAUAAGUCAUCAGCUUGUGCUGAUUACGUCCCUGCCCUUUGUACACACCGCCCGUCGCUCCUACCGAUUGAGUGGUUCGGUGAACUUUUUGGACUGCGCAGGCAUUAGUCUGUGCGGGAAGUUAAUUAAACCAUAUCACUUAGAGGAAGGAAAANUCGUAACA